RNAcentral lists this unclassified non-coding RNA (596 nucleotides) under Homarus americanus (American lobster). RNAcentral's name for it is "zinc finger and BTB domain-containing protein 24- like, transcript variant X8". Lineage: Eukaryota; Metazoa; Arthropoda; Malacostraca; Decapoda; Nephropidae. The record is from RNAcentral.
UAGAUUUAAGAUAAGUGAACUCUGUUACUGUUUGCUUGUAAGAUCAUGAACAAUAGAGAUGAAUAUGCCUAUCUGGAAGUACAUGAAAGAUAUUUUUAUUGCCAGUGGCUUGAGUCUGUGAUAGAAAAUAUCUGUGAUACGAAAUAUAUUUCAUGAAAACAAACACCUGGAUAUGAAGUAAUGUAUAGUAAUUCGCAUUACUACAUAAUAAGAUAUUAACACCAGUACAAGCUAUUCAAGAUAAAAAUACGCCUUUUGAUGCUCGCUUUACAACACUACAUUCCAGUGUUGCCGUACCACGCCAAGGACGAAGAUUUUCGAAGACGAUACUCAUGCGAUGGUGGCGCUAUCUGUCGGUGACCGACCCAACUACUAAGUGCCAGUUAGUGAUUUGAUGCUAUUUUUUGGCGGCACGCAGCUAUAUGGGGAGUCGAGCUUCCUUACUCUACCUUCCUUGCAAGCGACACCUUGUCCCCCAGCAACAGGGAAAAGUGACCAUAUCAAACAUCCCUCCUUCCACCACACCCUGCCUCUACCAGACAUAGGAUCACCAGUAUGGCUUUCGCCAGGCGAGAUCUACUGGUGAUCUGCUCUCC